Molecule: ribosomal RNA, 470 nt
Filed under: Anaplasma platys
Lineage: Bacteria; Pseudomonadati; Pseudomonadota; Alphaproteobacteria; Rickettsiales; Anaplasmataceae
Description: bacterial SSU rRNA
Rfam family: Bacterial small subunit ribosomal RNA
Source: RNAcentral
CUACCUAGUAGUAUGGGAUAGCCACUAGAAAUGGUGGGUAAUACUGUAUAAUCCCUGCGGGGGAAAGAUUUAUCGCUAUUAGAUGAGCCUAUGUUAGAUUAGCUAGUUGGUAGGGUAAAGGCCUACCAAGGCAGUGAUCUAUAGCUGGUCUGAGAGGAUGAUCAGCCACACUGGAACUGAGAUACGGUCCAGACUCCUACGGGAGGCAGCAGUGGGGAAUAUUGGACAAUGGGCGCAAGCCUGAUCCAGCUAUGCCGCGUGAGUGAGGAAGGCCUUAGGGUUGUAAAACUCUUUCAGUGGGGAAGAUAAUGACGGUACCCACAGAAGAAGUCCCGGCAAACUCCGUGCCAGCAGCCGCGGUAAUACGGAGGGGGCAAGCGUUGUUCGGAAUUAUUGGGCGUAAAGGGCAUGUAGGCGGUUCGGUAAGUUAAAGGUGAAAUGCCAGGGCUUAACCCUGGAGCUGCUUUUUA